Molecule: ribosomal RNA, 471 nt
Filed under: uncultured bacterium
Lineage: Bacteria
Description: partial 16S ribosomal RNA
Rfam family: Bacterial small subunit ribosomal RNA
Source: RNAcentral
GACGAACGCUGGCGGCGUGCUUAACACAUGCAAGUCGAACGGAAAGGCCCUGCUUGCAGGGUGCUCGAGUGGCGAACGGGUGAGUAACACGUGGGUGAUCUGCCCCUUACUUUGGGAUAAGCCUGGGAAACUGGGUCUAAUACUGGAUAGGACCAUGCUGUAGGUGGUGUGGUGGAAAGAUUUUUUCGGUAAGGGAUGAGCUCGCGGCCUAUCAGCUUGUUGGUGGGGUAAUGGCCUACCAAGGCGUCGACGGGUAGCCGGCCUGAGAGGGUGGACGGCCACAUUGGGACUGAGAUACGGCGCAGACUCCUACGGGAGGCAGCAGUGGGGAAUAUUGCACAAUGGUCGCAAGCCUGAGGCAGCGACGCCGCGUGGGGGAUGACGGCCUUCGGGUUGUAAACUCCUUUCAGCAAUGACGAAGCCUCUUUUGGGGUGACGGUAGUGGUAGAAGAAGCACCGGCUAACUACGUG